Long non-coding RNA from Oxyura jamaicensis (ruddy duck), 1674 nucleotides. RefSeq lists it as uncharacterized. The transcript has 3 exons. The record is from RefSeq and is a predicted model, not a curated record. NCBI's taxonomy places the organism in Eukaryota, Metazoa, Chordata, Aves, Anseriformes, Anatidae.
CAGCGCAAUGCUUCCCUCUUCUCAGCCGCAGCCUGCACGGCACAGGUGUGCGGGGAGCGCGCUGCCUCACCAAAAAGCAGCAACGAGCUGAUGAAGCAGGGCUGGGAGCUCAGUGGCAGCUGACCUUGCACCAAUAUCACUGCUACCACACAGCCAAAAGAGUAUACCUGCUUCAGGGAAAAGAGCACUGACAGAACAGGCACAAAAGCAGAUCAGAGAUGAGGCAGCCCAGGCAGCAGGGAGCUGUGGCAAUCAGCACCUUCCCACCAUCAGAUGUCACUGCAGAGGAGCAACCCGAGGCCACACACGGAGGGGGACACUGCCCACGCCUCCACAGCAGGCACUGAACAGAUCCGUGGCUUCCUGAGCCCUCGCACAGCGAUCCCUUUCAGAAGGCCGAGUGCAGCGGGGGAAUUAUCCUUCUUAGGCUGAAGUUGUAAAAUCCGCAUUCAGCAUCUACCCAUAACAGUCUCAUUACAAAUAAUCCAUUUAUGUGUUGGCAGAGGAUAAAUGCAGUGAGGUAACGUGAUUGCUCGACUGUGAAAGCAUAAUUAAUAAUAAAUUACUGCAUCCAAUGGCCGUAACAAUGAAAUGUCCCACCCCUGGAGAGAAUGGAGCUGGACAUUUCAACAAGAAGCGGGGUGGACAGGUAGAAAGUUCACUCACUAAUGAUAAUGCCAGGGAUUUAAAAGAAAAAAAAAAAAAAAAAAAAAAAAAAAAAAAAAAAAAAAAAAAAAAAAGAAAACCACCCAGCAACUCCACUGACUCAUUGGAAGGCUGACAAAGUCUGAAGAAUGCAGUUUCUCAUCUGCUACACUGCAAGGUGAUAUGUUCUCAAUAAAAGCCUUAAGGCAUUCUCCAUUUAUCCACUGGCAUCCCUUAGCUCUCCCUGGCUUACCGAUGGCCAUACACGGUCACGCACACCCCCCUGGAUUAACAGGCCAAAACUUAGCCUUGCUGCAUUGUUGCUGUUUUUGCCAGGAGUGCAGGGGUUGAUCCAAGGCGUUUCCACCCAGCUGGCAGGGCUGCGCUCCCCUCCCAGCGUGCAGACGUGCCAGCACCGGGCUGCAGCCUGCUCACCCUCCCUGCACAUGCAUCUGCUCAAAUACUACCAUUUCACCUUUACUUUUGGUUUCUCUUCUGCAGUGUUGCAAAACUCCUCGCUGUGCUUUAACCGGUAACAUUUGGUGCCGCUAACCAAGGGAGAAACUGUCUGCAGCAGCCGUGAGUCACUCCUUGCACAGGGACCACUGGGCUUGCUGAAGCAGCAGGGAGUGAGGAAAGCAUCAAGGUUGGAUCCAAGGUCACGGGACAAUAGAGGUUUCCACGCACCAGCUCUCGGAGAGCAAGUGACAUUCUGUAUCUACAAUUUGUGGGAAGUAAUGGAAAAAUUGAAUUAACAGCUUGGAUGAUGGGACAGAGUACACUUCCAGAGCCUGUGGAAGACAUCAGCUCAGUGUCUACAUUCAGCUUCGAAGAGGUUAUAACCUGGAGGGCCUUUCCAACUCACCCACCUGAUCCUGAAUCUGCAUUUACAGUCUGUGGGAAUGCAACUGCACAGAGCCAGCCACGGGAUCCGCAGGCAUAGUUUCAUACACACCGAAAGCUGCCUAAAUAAUGCACAACAAAAUCAAGGAGGAAAAGGGCUCACCAGAAGAAAAAUAGUUGUUCACA